Erpetoichthys calabaricus (reedfish) is the source of this 66-nucleotide small nucleolar RNA. NCBI's taxonomy places the organism in Eukaryota, Metazoa, Chordata, Cladistia, Polypteriformes, Polypteridae. The record is from Ensembl.
UUCCAAUGAUGAUUUCCAUCUAGCUCACUUUGAACAGUAAUGAAAAGGUGUGAACAACUGAGUGAC